AAACUGAAGAGUUUGAUCCUGGCUCAGAUUGAACGCUAGCGGGAUGCUUUACACAUGCAAGUCGAACGGCAGCACAGAGGAACUUGUUCCUUGGGUGGCGAGUGGCGGACGGGUGAGUAAUGUAUCGGAACGUGCCCAGUAGUGGGGGAUAACUACGCGAAAGCGUGGCUAAUACCGCAUAUUCUCUACGGAGGAAAGGGGGGGAUCAUUUGACCUCUCGCUAUUGGAGCGGCCGAUAUUAGAUUAGCUAGUUGGUGGGGUAACGGCCUACCAAGGCAGUGAUCUAUAGCUGGUUUGAGAGGACGACCAGCCACACUGGGACUGAGACACGGCCCAGACUCCUACGGGAGGCAGCAGUGGGGAAUUUUCGACAAUGGGGGAACCCUGAUCGAGCCAUCCCGCGUGUGGGACGAAGGCCUUCGGGUUGUAAACCACUUUUCUCAACGAAGAAAAGUCUUAGGCUAAUACCUUAAGAUGCUGACGGUAGUUGAGGAAUAAGCACCGGCUAACUAUGUGCCAGCAGCCGCGGUAAUACAUAGGGUGCAAGCGUUAAUCGGAAUUACUGGGCGUAAAGGGUGCGCAGGCGGCUUGGAAAGAACGGUGUGAAAUCCCGGGGCUCAACCUCGGAACUGCACUAUUAACUAUCAAGCUAGAGUAUGUCAGAGGGGGGUGGAAUUCCGCGUGUAGCAGUGAAAUGCGUAGAUAUGCGGAGGAACACCAAUGGCGAAGGCAGCCCCCUGGGAUAAUACUGACGCUCAGGCACGAAAGCGUGGGUAGCAAACAGGAUUAGAUACCCUGGUAGUCCACGCCCUAAACGAUGUCAACUAGCUGUUGGGCCGGUUACGGCUUAGUAGCGCAGCUAACGCGUGAAGUUGACCGCCUGGGGACUACGGUCGCAAGACUAAAACUCAAAGGAAUUGACGGGGACCCGCACAAGCGGUGGAUGAUGUGGAUUAAUUCGAUGCAACGCGAAAAACCUUACCUACCCUUGACAUGCCUGGAAGCUUUAAGAGAUUAAAGUGUGCUCGCAAGAGAACCGGUGCACAGGUGCUGCAUGGCUGUCGUCAGCUCGUGUCGUGAGAUGUUGGGUUAAGUCCCGCAACGAGCGCAACCCUUGUCAUUAGUUGCUACGUAAGAGCACUCUAGUGAGACUGCCGGUGACAAACCGGAGGAAGGUGGGGAUGACGUCAAGUCCUCAUGGCCCUUAUGGGUAGGGCUUCACACGUCAUACAAUGGUCGGGACAGAGGGUUGCCAAGCCGCGAGGUGGAGCUAAUCUCUUAAACCCGAUCGUAGUCCGGAUUGCAGGCUGCAACUCGCCUGCAUGAAGUCGGAAUCGCUAGUAAUCGCAGAUCAGAAUGCUGCGGUGAAUACGUUCCCGGGUCUUGUACACACCGCCCGUCACACCAUGGGAGUGGGUUUUACCAGAAGUAGUUAGUCUAACCGCAAGGGGGACGAUUACCACGGUAGGAUUCAUGACUGGGGUGAAGUCGUAACAAGGUAGCCGUACCGGAAGGUGCGGCUGGAUCACCUCCUUU
This 1536-nucleotide ribosomal RNA is filed under the name Oligella ureolytica. Its description in RNAcentral is "bacterial SSU rRNA". It matches the Rfam family "Bacterial small subunit ribosomal RNA". Lineage: Bacteria; Pseudomonadati; Pseudomonadota; Betaproteobacteria; Burkholderiales; Alcaligenaceae. The record is from RNAcentral.